AGUGAACGCUGGCGGUAGGCCUAACACAUGCAAGUCGAACGGCAGCACAGUAAGAGCUUGCUCUUACGGGUGGCGAGUGGCGGACGGGUGAGGAAUACAUCGGAAUCUACUUUUCGUGGGGGAUAACGUAGGGAAACUUACGCUAAUACCGCAUACGACCUACGGGUGAAAGCCGGGGAUCUUCGGACCUUGCGCGAUUGAAUGAGCCGAUGUCGGAUUAGCUAGUUGGCGGGGUAAAGGCCCACCAAGGCGACGAUCCGUAGCUGGUCUGAGAGGAUGAUCAGCCACACUGGAACUGAGACACGGUCCAGACUCCUACGGGAGGCAGCAGUGGGGAAUAUUGGACAAUGGGCGCAAGCCUGAUCCAGCCAUACCGCGUGGGUGAAGAAGGCCUUCGGGUUGUAAAGCCCUUUUGUUGGGAAAGAAAAGCAGCAGGUUAAUACCCCGCUGUUCUGACGGUACCCAAAGAAUAAGCACCGGCUAACUUCGUG
RNAcentral lists this ribosomal RNA (491 nucleotides) under uncultured bacterium. RNAcentral describes it as "partial 16S ribosomal RNA". It matches the Rfam family "Bacterial small subunit ribosomal RNA", at positions 29 to 507 of the family's 1533-position model. The record is from RNAcentral.